This 3006-nucleotide ribosomal RNA is filed under the name Carterina spiculotesta. RNAcentral describes it as "bacterial SSU rRNA". It matches the Rfam family "Eukaryotic small subunit ribosomal RNA". The record is from RNAcentral. Lineage: Eukaryota; Foraminifera; Carterinida; Carterinidae.
CUCAAAGAUUAAGCCAUGCAAGUGGUUAUUUCACAAUAACCCGACAGUUUAAAUAAGUGUUCUCUGUCGUAAUAAUAAUAUACACAAAAUACACACACACACACACACAUAAGUUAUCACUUAUGCAACUGCAGACAGCUGCUUAAUACAGUUACACUUGUCUUGACUUUGGUAUUAUAAACGCUCGUAUAACAUGUUAUGUUAUGCUGCGUGUCACGUAUAUAUGAGACAACAUAUGUAUGAACCCAAUUGAUUUCUCUGUAAUGAGAUAUUCAUAUAUUUAUAACCACGCGUUACACUGUGAAUUUAUAUAUUAUGGAUAACUCAGGGAAAGUUUGGCUAAUACGUACGAGUCAAUUAUUAUACACAAACACACACACACACACAUAAUAUAAUCUAUUCAGCACUUAUUGGAUCGUGAGAGACAAUAAGCACGCAUAUAUCAUAUUAUAUGUUACGCUGAGCAGACAUUACAGUAAAAUGUGAUGCAUGUCAUACAAGCAUUUAUAGCAUCAAGUCACAGGGUUGGCAAGUGUAUUUUUGAACCUUCAAAGCAGUCACGCAUACGGAAGAGUAGUUUCUGAUCCCAUAGAAGGAGCACCGUCCAAUGAGAGACCGCUCUUAGUUCUAAGGAACGCAGCAGGCGCGUAAAUUGCCCAAUGUUAGUACCUUUUUAUUAAGGUUUCUAUCAUAUAAGCUAAUUUGCGAUACGUAUAUUAUUACACACACACACACACUUAUACACAAACUAUCAUGCAUAGCAUAUAAUAAUCCUUGUUACACNGAGGCAGUGACAAGCUGUAACGGUUGAGUAUUUUCAAUAGACAAGUGUCUGGCAUUGCCGCCUCACAUUCACGUGUAAGGCUUGGCAUUUCGCCGACACUUCGUAUGCUCAAUUGGAAUGCGGUGAGUUUAAUACACUCAGAACCUUUAUAUUGUGAUUUAUUUUUACAAUAUAAGUAUCUGAAUCUCUCAAGUGGAGGGCAAGUCUGGUGCCAGCAGCCGCGGUAAUACCAGCUCCACUAGCCUAUACAAUCAUUGUUGCGGUUAAGAGGCUCGUAGUUGGAUUGAACUAUUUACUCACACUAAAUAGUUACGUCCCGUAUAUUUAUAUACGGGUCGACACUAUUUUUUUAUGCAUAUUAUAUAUAUUAANACACACACACACACACAUACAUACAUAUUCAACACUGUGAACAAANCAGAGUGUAUCAAACAUGUCAUAUUAUUAUGAAUGCGCAUUAAAUGUCUUAUCAUGGAAUGUUGCACUCUCAUAAAAUAUUGUACGUGCGCGCACUAAUUUGAACGCAGUGUAUGUAUGUAUCUACUCACGCGCGUAUAUUUAUUUAUACACACGUACAAUAUUAUAUAUAUAUUACGCAUAAUAAAAAUAUAUGUCGAUGGAGAUAGUUGGAGUCAAGAGUACUGUCGGGCGAGCGGUGAAAUGCGUUGACCCUGGCAAGACUACCAGAAGCGAAAGCGCUUGGCUAGGCUAUUCUCUUUGUGAAUAUCACAUAUUAUAUCGUCUCACACACCCCUCGAUAUUUAUGUGUGACACUCUACAACGAAGAACGAAGGUUGGGGGAUCAAAGAGGAUCAGAUACCCUCGUCGUCCCAUUGUUUACAUCAAACGAUGGGCUCUCAUUCGCACAAAAUAUAAAAUUCUAUUUUAUAUGCUGUGAGAAUAAUCCCUCCCGACCAACAAAAAAUAAUGACUUGAGCUUUGCUAAUAUACAUUCACGUGUAUUUUAGCGCUCGUCAUAAUUUUUUACUACGUCUCUCGAAGGACUUUUCCCAUAUAAAAAUUAAUUUUUUUAUAUAUGCGUGUAAGCAUUUAUAUGUAACAUCUCUGUUACGUAUAUAGCGUGCACCUGAUUUUCGGAGCUUUGCGCUCAACUCAUCUGGUGAGAUGUAAGCACUAUGUCUUAUAUACUUGUAUAUUCGACAAUCAUUAGUGUGAUGCACGCUUUAGGCACGCGCUUACUGCAGAAAUGUCUGAGACAUUCCCCUCCGGGGGUAGUAUGCACGCAAGUGUGAAACUUGAAGGAAUUGACGGAAGGGCACCACAAGAACGCGUGGAGCAUGUGGCUUAAUCUGACUCAACGCGGAAAAUCUUACCGGGUCCGGACACACUGAGGAUUGACAGGUUCAUCAUCAUGUGAUGUGUUUUUCACGGAACACAUUACAUGCACACACAAAAAUGCUAGUCCUUUCAUGAUUAUGUGAUAGGUGGUGCAUGGCCGUUCUUAGUUCGUGGAGUGAUCUGUCUGCUUAAUUGCGUAUCACUUUUAACGUGUAUCAAACAUAUAUUCAAUAUGUACUGACCUUGUUCACGCAUGCGUCUAUACAUUGAGAAUAUAUUUACACGUUGAUAGCAACGAACGUGACCGUAAUCCCUUGUUGCGAUAUUCACCUACUCUCACCCCGUGUUAAUAUCGCUAACUAGGGAGACCGCUGUAUUCUUUCUUAAACCAGAGGAAGGUUACGGCAAUAACAGGUCUGUGAUGCCCUUAGAUGUUCCGGGCCGCACACGUGCUACACUGAUUAUUGCAGUGAGUAUCUUACUUAACUUGCUAUGUGUAUGCGUGUAUGUUUACAUACACAAAUACACGCUCAAAUAGCCUGCUUCGAAAGUUACCUCGCGGGUAAUCAAUUAGCAGUAAUGAUUUUCCAUCAUACAUGCACAUUAUGUACGUAUAUUAUACCCAGUGUGUGAUUUAUCACACACUCGUGUGUAUAAUAUUACACGUACGUGCAUUUUAUCAAUUCAUGGUGGGGACAGACUAUUGUUAAUUAUUAGUCUCGGUUUCAACUAGGAAUGCCUUGUACUGGUUAGUUCAACAAACUACCAGGAAUACGUCCCUGCCCUUUGUACACACCGCCCGUCGCUCUUACCGAUGAACUAUACUGUGAGUUUAUUGGACUCAUACAUUAAAAUUUCCAUUUUAUGUAUGGGAAAAAUGCACGAACAGUGUGGUUUAAAGGAAAGAGAAGUCGAACAAGGCA